GCCGGGUGUGGUGGCGCGCGCCUGUAAUCCAAGUUUCCUGGAGGCUGAGGCUGGAGGAUGGUUGGAGCUCAGGAACUCUGUGCUGCAGUGGACUAUGCUGAUCGGGUGUCUGCACUCAGUUCAGUAUCGACAUGGUCUUCCUGGGGGAGCCCAGGACAACCAGGUUGUCUAAGGAGGGGUGAAUCGGCCCAGGUCGGAAACGGAGCAGGUCAAAGCCCACGUGCUGAUCAAAAGUGGGAUCGCACCUGAGAGUAGAUGCUGCAGCACAGCCGGAGUUACUCAUCCAGACCCAGCCUUU
This 298-nucleotide signal recognition particle RNA is filed under the name Oryzias melastigma (Indian medaka). Its description in RNAcentral is "Metazoan signal recognition particle RNA (ENSOMEG00000013810.1)". It matches the Rfam family "Metazoan signal recognition particle RNA". From Rfam's summary of the family: The signal recognition particle (SRP) is a universally conserved ribonucleoprotein. Lineage: Eukaryota; Metazoa; Chordata; Actinopteri; Beloniformes; Adrianichthyidae. The record is from RNAcentral.